Molecule: ribosomal RNA, 511 nt
Filed under: uncultured bacterium
Lineage: Bacteria
Description: bacterial SSU rRNA
Rfam family: Bacterial small subunit ribosomal RNA
Source: RNAcentral
AGAGUUUGAUCCUGGCUCAGGACGAACGCUGGCGGCGUGCCUAACACAUGCAAGUCGUGCGGUCUCGCCUUAAGCGAAAGGCCUUCGGGCUUUGAAGCGAAAGGCGAGAUAGCGGCGGACGGGUGAGUAACGCGUGGCUUAUCUGUCCCAGGGAGGGGGAUAACGCCUGGAAACGGGCGCUAAUACCCCAUAUGCCUAAAAGGUGAAAAGGAGAGAUCCGCCCUGGGGUGAGGCCGCGUCCUAUCAGCUCGUUGGUGAGGUAACGGCCCACCAAGGCUAUGACGGGUAGCCGGCCUGAGAGGGCGGCUGGCCACACUGGGAUUGAGAUACGGCCCAGACUCCUACGGGAGGCAGCAGUGGGGAAUAUUGGGCAAUGGGGGAAACCCUGACCCAGCGACGCCGCGUGGAGGAAGGAGCCCUUCGGGGUGUAAACUCCUGUUGUAAGGGAAGAAGACCUGACGGUACCUUACAAGGAAGCCCCGGCAAACUACGUGCCAGCAGCCGCGGUAAU